AUUGAACGCUGGCGGCAGGCCUAACACAUGCAAGUCGAGCGCGCGGCGGACGGGUGAGUAAUGUAUGGGGACUGCCCGAUAGAGGGGGCUAACUACUGGAAACGGUAGCUAAUACCGCAUACUAUCGGAUAACCCAUAUGGGAUUAGCUAGUAGGUGAGGUAAUGGCUCACCUAGGCGCCGAUCCCUAGCUGGUCUGAGAGGAUGAGCAGCGACGCGGUGUCAGAGACACGGCCCAGACUCCUACGGAGUCAGCAUUGGAGAAGAUUGCACAAUGGGCGCAAGCCUGAUGCAGCCAUGCCGCGUGUAUGAAGAAGGCCCUAGGUUUGUAAAGUACUUUCAGUCGGGAGGCGUUACCGACAGAAGAAGCACCGGCUAACUCCGUGCCAGCCGCCGCGGUAAUUC
This 403-nucleotide ribosomal RNA is filed under the name uncultured bacterium. RNAcentral describes it as "partial 16S ribosomal RNA". It matches the Rfam family "Bacterial small subunit ribosomal RNA", at positions 30 to 526 of the family's 1533-position model. The record is from RNAcentral.